UGUCGGUCCCCCCGCGUCGCAAGGCCGUCAACCCCGCCAGGCCCGGAAGGGAGCAACGGUCGCGGUUCGAGCGGGCGCCGGGGUGUGGCUGGCAGGG
This 97-nucleotide signal recognition particle RNA is filed under the name Lysobacterales bacterium. RNAcentral describes it as "signal recognition particle sRNA small type". It matches the Rfam family "Bacterial small signal recognition particle RNA". Rfam says of the family: The signal recognition particle (SRP) is a universally conserved ribonucleoprotein involved in the co-translational targeting of proteins to membranes. Archaeal SRP consists of a 7S RNA and homologues of the eukaryotic SRP19 and SRP54 proteins. In most bacteria, the SRP consists of a 4.5S RNA and the Ffh protein (a homologue of the eukaryotic SRP54 protein). The record is from RNAcentral. RNAcentral also lists the same sequence under 1 other name. Lineage: Bacteria; Pseudomonadati; Pseudomonadota; Gammaproteobacteria; Lysobacterales.